UACUUAAUGCAGCAGCCCUCUUCAU
Molecule: non-coding RNA, 25 nt
Filed under: Mus musculus (house mouse)
Lineage: Eukaryota; Metazoa; Chordata; Mammalia; Rodentia; Muridae
Source: RNAcentral